AGGAGUAAUAUUCUCACAGUCACUUCUGGCACAUAAUUCCAGCUUCCAAAGAACACUGAGUCAUACCUGGAUAUCACCAACUGCUGUUGCUCUCUUCUUUUGGCUCUAUGCCAAUCAGGCAUGGAAAUCAGUCCCUUUCCUGUCAUUUUCCCCCCAGAACCAAUCACUCAAGACAUUGUAUGUGGCAGGUUUUACUAAAGUAAAGCCCAGGGACAAAUCUUAUGGAUUCUACCGGUGGAGAUGAAUGUGUUCACUAGCCAAGGCUCCAGCUUCAGACAAGGGUAGUAAUGAAUCAAUCACCAGGCUUUUAUUAAGUGUCUCUUCACUAAAAGCAUAGCUCUUCCUGCAGCCAGACAGCCUUGGCUCUGCACUCCUGAAGAAUGAUGAGGUGGAGUUUGUCCGAACUGGCUAUGGGAAGGAUAUGGUAAAAGUUCUCCAUAUUCAGUGAGAUGGAAAAUAUCACAGCAUUAAAGAGGUGGCAACUUCAGUGCAGCUUACUCUAAGUUCCAAAAAAGCAACUUCAGUGCAGCUUACUCUAAGUUCCAAAAAAGAUUACCUACAUGGAGAUAAUUCAGACAUCAUCCCUACAGACACCAUCAAGAACACAGUUCAUGUCUUGGCAAAGUUUAAAGAAAAUGGAGUUAAGCAUGUCCAUGCAUUUAUUCACACUCCCACUGGAACACACUUCUGUGAAGUUGAACAGCUGAGAAGUGGACCCCAAGUCAUUCACUCUGGAAUCAAAGACCUCAAGGUCUUGAAAACAACACAGUCUGGAUUUGAAGGUUUCAUCAAGGACCAGUUCACUACCCUCCCUGAGGAGAAGGACUGAUGCUUUGCCACCCAAGUGUACUGCAAGUGGCGCUACCACCAGUGCAGGGAUGUGGACUUCAAGGCUACCUGGGACACCAUUCGGGACCUUGUCAUGGAGAAAUCUGCUGGGCCCUAUGACAAAGGUGAAUACUCGCCCUCUGUGCAGAAGACCGUCUGUGAUAUCCAGGUGCUCUCCCUGAGCCGAGUUCAUGCGAUAGAAGAUAUGGAAAUCAGCCUGCCAAACAUUCACUACUUCAACAUAGACAUGUCCAAAAUGGGUCUGAUCAACAAGGAAGAGGUAAGAGGAAAUUGACUCAUCUCUCAACUAUUGCCAGGAUAAUAAGGCAUUACCAUGCUUGAAGUAACUUUACUGGAGGACAUACACAUUUUCCUGUUUAGUCUUGCUGCCAUUAGACAAUCCAUAUGGAAAAAUUACUGGUACAGUCAAGAGGAAGUUGUCUUCAAGACUGUGACAUUGUGGCCACCAAUAGGAGUCCACUCUCAGCUGAGGAAUUCCUUAAGUCAUUUGUGAUGCUGGAGAUGAUAGCAUGUAGCCAUGCAAAAUUUCACACUAGUAUAUUGAUUUACAGUGUUCACUUUCCUCCAAUAUGAAACAGUUUAUUUCUUCUACACCUAGCUCAGCAAGGCAUUCUGUGGAUUACCUUAUUAGUAAUUAUAACAGGCUUUAUGGCUAUAGUUUACUUUAAAAAUGCUGAGCAGUAUUAGAACAGUUAUAAAUCAAUAUUUCUUUUUGGUUGUCUUAUGCCUUCCUAUCUUAGAGAAGCUUUAGAAUCAAUUCAUUAAGAAAAUGAUCAUGAAUUAAUGAGUGUGUCACAUCAAUUAAUUUGUGCACAGGUUUAAGAAACAAAUAUUGUUUUCAUCCUACUGAUGCUUCUAAGUAAUGCAGAAAAUGAAAUAAAAUUAUAUUG
This is an RNA transcript of Gorilla gorilla gorilla (western lowland gorilla), 1739 nucleotides long. It is a transcript of the gene named urate oxidase (pseudogene), with no coding region annotated. The transcript is spliced from 9 exons. Lineage: Eukaryota; Metazoa; Chordata; Mammalia; Primates; Hominidae. The record is from RefSeq and is marked validated.